Molecule: non-coding RNA, 119 nt
Organism: Pteropus alecto (black flying fox)
Lineage: Eukaryota; Metazoa; Chordata; Mammalia; Chiroptera; Pteropodidae
Source: Rfam
GUCUACGGCCAUGCCACCCUGAACGAGCCAGAUCCCGUCUGAUCUCAGAAGCUAAGCUGGGUCGGGCCUGGUUAGUACUUGGAUGGGAGACCACAUAGGAAGACCAGGUGCUGUAGGCA